GAUGAACGCUGGCGGCGUGCCUAAUACAUGCAAGUCGAGCGAACGGACGAGAAGCUUGCUUCUCUGAUGUUAGCGGCGGACGGGUGAGUAACACGUGGAUAACCUACCUAUAAGACUGGGAUAACUUCGGGAAACCGUAGCUAAUACCGGAUAAUAUUUUGAACCGCAUGGUUCAAAAGUGAAAGACGUUCUUUCUGUCUCUUAUAGAUGGAUCCGCGCUGCAUUAGCUAGUUGGUAAGGUAACGGCUUACCAAGGCAACGAUGCAUAGCCGACCUGAGAGGGUGAUCGGCCACACUGGAACUGAGACACGGUCCAGACUCCUACGGGAGGCAGCAGUAGGGAAUCUUCCGCAAUGGGCGAAAGCAUGACGGAGCAACGCCGCGUGAGUGAUGAAGGUCUUCGGAUCGUAAAACUCUGUUAUUAGGGAAGAACAUAUGUGUAAGUAACUGUGCACAUCUUGACGGUACCUAAUCAGAAAGCAACGGCUAACUACGUG
RNAcentral lists this ribosomal RNA (497 nucleotides) under uncultured bacterium. Its description in RNAcentral is "partial 16S ribosomal RNA". It matches the Rfam family "Bacterial small subunit ribosomal RNA", at positions 28 to 507 of the family's 1533-position model. The record is from RNAcentral.